GUAUAGCGAUAGCUAAUUGCACUAAAAAACAGUUUAUGCAAUAUCGACUCAGUCGAAUAAAAUUCUAGGUAGAAUUAUGAUGAUGACAUUGUCUGCCUAUGUGUCUUGACCAAAUUACGUGCCAGCAGUCGCGGUAAUACGUAGAAGACUAGUGUUAUUCAUCUUUAAUAGGUUUAAAGGGUACCUAGACGGUAAAUCAAGCCUUCAAGGGGACUAAUUUACUAGAGUUACUUGUGAGGGGGUAUUAAAGUACUGCUGGUGUAGAGAUGAAAUUCUGUGAUACCUCUUUUAGACAUGAAAAUAAUGGCACAGGUAUAGGCGAAAGCAUCCCCUUAUGUGAUAACUGACGUUGAAGGACGAAGGCUUUGUGUAGCGAACAGGAUUAGAUACCCCAGUAGUCAAAGCAGAAAAUGAUGAAUGUCAUAGAUUAGGUAAUAGUUUAUUCUAUAAAUGAAAGUGUAAGCAUUCCACCUCAAGAGUAAUUUGGCAACAUUGGAACUGAAAUCAUUAGACCGUUUCUGAAACCAGUAGUGAAGUAUGUUGUUUAAUUUGAUAAUCCGCAAAAAACCUUACCACAAUUUGAAUAUUUAUAUUAAUUUACAAGCGUUGCACGGCUGUCUUCAGUUAAUGUCGUGAGAUUUUGGUUAGUUCCAUUAAAUUAACGUAAACCCUCACUUUAUUUUUAUAUAAAGUAGUUCCCCACUAGAUUGGAUAAGAUAACA
RNAcentral lists this ribosomal RNA (722 nucleotides) under Lecanora argopholis. RNAcentral describes it as "SSU rRNA". It matches the Rfam family "Bacterial small subunit ribosomal RNA", at positions 370 to 1150 of the family's 1533-position model. Lineage: Eukaryota; Fungi; Ascomycota; Lecanoromycetes; Lecanorales; Lecanoraceae. The record is from RNAcentral.